AGGAAACAAGACUCUACAGUUCCCUCUCUGUUAUCAGUUAUCAGUUAGAAGGUAGAGGAGCUAUGGCGAAGAGGACAAACUUUCUUCUGUGUGGGCUUCCCUGCUUGAUCAUCUUUGUGACAAAACACAGUUCAUCGGGCAGAGAUCCAUGUACAAGCAACCCCUGCCCUCAUUUUGCUUCCUGUGUCUAUGACAAUGAAAAAUACUACUGUUCUUACCCUGAAUAUGUCUCAACCACAGGAAAAGAAGCACUCACAGACAAGAAAGUUACAC
Long non-coding RNA from Canis lupus familiaris (dog), 273 nucleotides. RefSeq lists it as uncharacterized. The transcript is spliced from 3 exons. The record is from RefSeq and is a predicted model, not a curated record. NCBI's taxonomy places the organism in Eukaryota, Metazoa, Chordata, Mammalia, Carnivora, Canidae.